Molecule: long non-coding RNA, 2478 nt
Organism: Gallus gallus (chicken)
Lineage: Eukaryota; Metazoa; Chordata; Aves; Galliformes; Phasianidae
Source: Ensembl
GGGGAACGUUUGGAGGGAGUUCAGCAGAGGGCCACCAAGAUGAUGAGGGACAUGGAGAAUAUCCUGUAUGAGGAAAGGCUGAGAGACCUGGGACUGUUCAGCUUGGAGAAGACUGAGAGGGCAUCUUAUCAAUACUUACAUACAUCUAAAGUGUCCUCCCAGCUGUGAUCCUUUAUCAUCAAAUUCGGAGACUUCAGGUCUCUUCCUCCCUGCGAGCCCAGAAGGACUCCCAAGAACCAGAUGAGGUAUGAUGCUCAACAGUAUCAUCUUCCAGAGUGAAUCUCCAGAGCUAGCAGGAAGGGAGCAUUCCUGGACUACCCCUGCUUAGACAUUACAAGUGAAACUUCCUUUGAAAACUGAAGGCUUCUCAUAAGGAAGGACUCUACAUCAUCUUAUCUAGAGCUGGCACCUGUGUGAGGCCUUCUGGAGAAACAGCCGUGAAUAUUUAACAAGAGAUAUAAAAAUACAAGGAAAUGAAGACGGAUGUAAGAAGUGCUCUAGCAACCAUUUGUGCUUCAUCUGGAUUUCCCAUAAAACCAAGGGGUUCCAUCUUUUUGCUCAUGGAAUGGCUUGGGUUGGAAGGAAUCUCAAGAAUCAUCAAGUUCCAAGCACCCCUGCUACAGGCAGGGUUUCCAACCGCUUGAUCAAGUAGAAGACCAGGCUGCCCAGGACCCCAUUCAACCUGGCCUUGAACACCUCCAGGAAUGGGGCAUCCACAACCCCUCUGGGCAGACUGUUCCAGCACCUCACCACUCUCUAAGUGAAAAACUUUCCCCUGAUAUCUUAUCUAAAUAUUCCCUCCUUUCAUUUAAAACCACCAUUCCCUUUUGUCCUAUCACUAUCUACCUGUGUAAAAAGUUGGUUUACCUCCCUUUUAUAAAUUCCCUUUUAUUAUUCAAAGGUUGCAAUGAGGUCUCCCUGCAGACUUCUCUUUUCCAGGCUGAACAACCCCAGUUCCUUCAGUCUGUCUUCAUAGGAGAGGUGCUCCAGCCCUCUCUUCAGCUUUGUGGCCCUCCUCUGGACCCUCUCCAACAGCUCCAUAUCUUACCUGUGUUGGGGGCCCCAGACCUUGUCACAGUACCCCAGAUGGGCUCUCAUGAGGACAGAGGAGAGAGAGAGAAUCACCUCCCUUGCCCUGCUGUCCACCCCUCUUCUGAUGGAGCCCAGGAUACCAUUGGCCUUGCAGGCUGCAAGUGCACUCUACUGGCUGAAGUUAAGUUUUUCAUCUACCAGGACCACUAAGUCCUUCUUGUCAGGGCUACUCUCAAGGAAUUCUUCUCUCAGUGUGUAUGCAGGAUUACCACAACCCAAGUGCAAAAUGUUGCACUUUACUUUGUUGAAUAUCAUAAAUGAACUCAUAAAUGCAGGAUGCGAUUCUCAAAUAUCCAGUGAAAAAUUGACGUACCUGCUUAUUUUUGAGAUGAAGAGUAUAAAAGUACUUUAUCUCAGACAAGCUUCAGGUUCAAAUGCAAGCAUCUGAGUGAGGGUGGGAGAGAUAGCAAUGGGAUUGUUUCAUCAUUUCUUUGUGCUUUCAUGUUUCACUGAAAAUGGGAAUCAUAUGGCUCUGUUAAUAUCACUUGAACAGUAUAUUAACUAUAAAACAGCUGCUCAUUAUGGUAAUAAGGAAAGUAGUCAGUCAUUACUACUUUUUUUUUUUUUUUAACUUCCUGUAAUUUUCUUCUGUUGAUAGAAAUUUGUAUGCAGCAGUGAAAAGACCUAACUUUACAGAUACCUAGCAAACUGACCAUGGAUUCAAGUGUAAGAAAGCAUCUUAUAUCAGUAAAAAUGCUAUGGCUCUUUUCAUUUUACAUAAUUUUCUCUAAUUUGUAGAAUAGCGUUAAUUUUUUUAUACUAUACGUCAUUAGAAAAGUACUUAGCCAUCCCUUUUGUCUAACUCUUUGCUUGAACUUUCAAAGAGACAUCCAUUCUUUGUAUAACAAAUAUUUACUGAACACCAAAAAUAUUUUAUACAGCACUUGGGAUACUAUGAAAAGCUUUUAAGCAAAACUAGUCUGGUAAAUUUCUAGUAGCAUUUUGUCUCCCCGUGUACCUGCAAGAAUACUAUUUUCUCUUUACUAUUUCAUUCUUCAGAAAAAAAAAAAAAUCCUCUUGUCAGCCAGCAUAAUUUAGAAAUUUAAACUACCUCAAUUAAAUGGGAGCAUAUAUUUGUUGCAUUGCACAACAGAAAAGCUACAAAUUGUGCAUCGCACGCAGCUAAGGAAAACACUCUGAAUGUACAUGACAAGUGUCUUAUAUCUCACCUGUUCCACCCUUUAAAAUCCUCAGUGAACAGAAAAAUUGUUUUAUCCCAGCACACAACUUGCUAGAACAUAAUUGUUGAAGUCAUAGUUAUUAAAAAUAUAAUGUUAUGCCAAGUACUCAAAAUUACCAUAUCUGUAAAUCAUAUAACAUAUAGGGAAAGCAGCUUAUCUUCAUCCAUUUUCUCUGCUUCUUUAUCCUGUAUUUAGAAUGCUAAUA